Molecule: transfer RNA, 75 nt
Filed under: Chloroflexota bacterium
Lineage: Bacteria; Bacillati; Chloroflexota
Description: Chloroflexi bacterium (sediment metagenome) tRNA-Arg
Rfam family: tRNA
About the family: Transfer RNA (tRNA) molecules are approximately 80 nucleotides in length. Their secondary structure includes four short double-helical elements and three loops (D, anti-codon, and T loops).
Source: RNAcentral
GCCUCCGUAGCUCAGUGGAAGAGCAGCUGCCUUCUAAGCAGCGGGUCGCAGGUUCGAAUCCUGUCGGGGGUGCCG